GCCGGGGUGGUGGAAUAGGUAGACACAAGGGACUUAAAAUCCCUCGAUCUCAUAAGGUCGUGCCGGUUCGAUUCCGGCCCUCGGCA
RNAcentral lists this transfer RNA (86 nucleotides) under Candidatus Hatepunaea meridiana. RNAcentral describes it as "tRNA-Leu". It matches the Rfam family "tRNA". From Rfam's summary of the family: Transfer RNA (tRNA) molecules are approximately 80 nucleotides in length. Their secondary structure includes four short double-helical elements and three loops (D, anti-codon, and T loops). The record is from RNAcentral. Lineage: Bacteria; Pseudomonadati; Candidatus Electryoneota; Candidatus Electryoneia; Candidatus Hatepunaeales; Candidatus Hatepunaeaceae.